RNAcentral lists this ribosomal RNA (253 nucleotides) under uncultured bacterium. Its description in RNAcentral is "partial 16S ribosomal RNA". It matches the Rfam family "Bacterial small subunit ribosomal RNA", at positions 524 to 776 of the family's 1533-position model. The record is from RNAcentral.
UACGUAGGGUGCGAGCGUUGUCCGGAAUUAUUGGGCGUAAAGGGCUCGUAGGCGGUCUGUUGCGUCAGGAGUGAAAACUCGGGGCUUAACCCCGAGCCUGCUUCUGAUACGGGCAGACUAGAGGUAUGCAGGGGAGAACGGAAUUCCUGGUGUAGCGGUGAAAUGCGUAGAGAUCGGGAAGAACAUCGGUGGCGAAGGCGGCCAGCUGGGCCAUUGCUGACGCUGAUGCGCGACAGCGUGGGGAGCAAACAGG